This 480-nucleotide ribosomal RNA is filed under the name Staphylococcus sp. WBUSh2. Its description in RNAcentral is "bacterial SSU rRNA". It matches the Rfam family "Bacterial small subunit ribosomal RNA", at positions 29 to 491 of the family's 1533-position model. The record is from RNAcentral. Lineage: Bacteria; Bacillati; Bacillota; Bacilli; Caryophanales; Staphylococcaceae.
AUGAACGCUGGCGGCGUGCCUAAUACAUGCAAGUCGAGCGAACAGACAAGGAGCUUGCUCCUUUGACGUUAGCGGCGGACGGGUGAGUAACACGUGGGUAACCUACCUAUAAGACUGGGAUAACUUCGGGAAACCGGAGCUAAUACCGGAUAAUAUUUCGAACCGCAUGGUUCGAUAGUGAAAGRUGGUUUUGCUAUCACUUAUAGAUGGACCCGCGCCGUAUUAGCUAGUUGGUAAGGUAACGGCUUACCAAGGCGACGAUACGUAGCCGACCUGAGAGGGUGAUCGGCCACACUGGAACUGAGACACGGUCCAGACUCCUACGGGAGGCAGCAGUAGGGAAUCUUCCGCAAUGGGCGAAAGCCUGACGGAGCAACGCCGCGUGAGUGAUGAAGGUCUUCGGAUCGUAAAACUCUGUUAUUAGGGAAGAACAUACGUGUAAGUAACUGUGCACGUCUUGACGGUACCUAAUCAGAAAGC